RNAcentral lists this ribosomal RNA (449 nucleotides) under uncultured bacterium. RNAcentral's name for it is "partial 16S ribosomal RNA". It matches the Rfam family "Bacterial small subunit ribosomal RNA", at positions 30 to 523 of the family's 1533-position model. The record is from RNAcentral.
AUUGAACGCUGGCGGCAUGCCUUACACAUGCAAGUCGAACGCAUCCUUCGGGGUGAGUGCCCGACGGGUGAGUAACGCGUGGGAAUCUAUCUAUCUCUGCGGAAUAGUGCCUGGAGACUGGAAUUCAUACCGAAUACGCCCUACGGGGGAAAGAUUUAUCGGGGAUGGAUGAGCCCGCGUUGGAUUACCUAGUUGGGGGGGUAAAGGCCUACCAAGGCGAUGAUCCAUAGCUGGUCUGAGAGGAUGAUCAGCCACAUUGGGACUGAGACACGGCACAGACUCCUACGGGAGGCAGCAGUGGGGAAUAUUGGACAAUGGGCGCAAGCCUGAUCCAGCCAUGCCGCGUGAGUGAUGAAGGCCUUAGGGUUGUAAAGCUCUUUCACCGAUGAAGAUAAUGACGGUAGUCGGAGAAGAAGCCCCGGCUAACUUCGUGCCAGCCGCCGCUGUAA